AAUAUAAGGAAAACCUCCUUUAUUCGUUUCUCAACAGGUUGUGCUUCAGCAUCAAUGGAGCUAUACAAACUAUGGUGAUACCAAGUGUGAAAUCAGUUUCUCAUUGCUAUGUUCCUGACAGAAUAACAGCAGAAAGGUCGCACAUUUCUGAUUUGCUCACAGUCAGGUCUCCAAAUUGCCUGAUGGGCUGUAGAUUGAUUUCUGUACCACAGGUACAUUUGCUCAUUUACAACCACUCUCAGCAUUUUCAAAAAAGAAUGCCUAAAUGGCUAUGGUUUGAUUCAGUCGUGGGCUGAAAUUCAGUUAAUGUCAGCUCUCCUCAAAGCACUGUAAAUAGCUACCAAAAACAUGCAAUGUAACACAUGAGUACAAGGCCAAAGCAAGGGGAGAGGUACAAGGAUUCACCUGGUGACUGAAUGCUGGGAAUAUUAAUUACAUGCCCAUCUCACCUGGUACUGAACUGCGAUUAACACUGGCUGAGCUCCAC
RNAcentral lists this long non-coding RNA (487 nucleotides) under Phasianus colchicus (ring-necked pheasant). RNAcentral's name for it is "lncRNA (ENSPCLG00000002425.1)". Lineage: Eukaryota; Metazoa; Chordata; Aves; Galliformes; Phasianidae. The record is from RNAcentral.